CCCUGUGUAGCUCAGUAUGUAGAGCACGGUGCUUAUGAGACCAGGGUUCUGGGUUCAAUUCCCACAGGGU
This 70-nucleotide transfer RNA is filed under the name Salmo salar (Atlantic salmon). It matches the Rfam family "tRNA". From Rfam's summary of the family: Transfer RNA (tRNA) molecules are approximately 80 nucleotides in length. Their secondary structure includes four short double-helical elements and three loops (D, anti-codon, and T loops). Lineage: Eukaryota; Metazoa; Chordata; Actinopteri; Salmoniformes; Salmonidae. The record is from Rfam by way of RNAcentral.